This 497-nucleotide ribosomal RNA is filed under the name uncultured bacterium. Its description in RNAcentral is "partial 16S ribosomal RNA". It matches the Rfam family "Bacterial small subunit ribosomal RNA", at positions 28 to 507 of the family's 1533-position model. The record is from RNAcentral.
GAUGAACGCUGGCGGCGUGCCUAAUACAUGCAAGUCGAGCGAACAGACGAGGAGCUUGCUCCUCUGACGUUAGCGGCGGACGGGUGAGUAACACGUGGAUAACCUACCUAUAAGACUGGGAUAACUUCGGGAAACCGGAUCUAAUACCGGAUAAUAUAUUGAACCGCAUGGUUCAAUAGUGAAAGACGGUUUUGCUGUCACUUAUAGAUGGAUCCGCGCCGCAUUAGCUAGUUGGUAAGGUAACGGCUUACCAAGGCAACGAUGCGUAGCCGACCUGAGAGGGUGAUCGGCCACACUGGAACUGAGACACGGUCCAGACUCCUACGGGAGGCAGCAGUAGGGAAUCUUCCGCAAGGGGCGAAAGCCUGACGGAGCAACGCCGCGUGAGUGAUGAAGGUCUUCGGAUCGUAAAACUCUGUUAUUAGGGAAGAACAAAUGUGUAAGUAACUAUGCACGUCUUGACGGUACCUAAUCAGAAAGCCACGGCUAACUACGUG